RNAcentral lists this ribosomal RNA (290 nucleotides) under uncultured bacterium. RNAcentral's name for it is "partial 16S ribosomal RNA". It matches the Rfam family "Bacterial small subunit ribosomal RNA", at positions 773 to 1060 of the family's 1533-position model. The record is from RNAcentral.
GUGGAUUAGAUACCCUGGUAGUCCACGCCGUAAACGAUGAAUGUUAGUUGUUGGGGGGUUCCCUCUCAGUGACGUAGCUAACGCAUUAAACAUUCCGCCUGGGGAGUACGGCCGCAAGGUUAAAACUCAAAGAAAUUGACGGGGACCCGCACAAGCGGUGGAGCAUGUGGUUUAAUUCGAGGCAACGCGAAGAACCUUACCAGGCCUUGACAUGUCCAGUUUGGAUUCCAGAGAUGGAUUCCUUCACCUCGGGUGGCUGGAACACAGGUGCUGCACGGCCGUCGUCAACU